UCAACUCCUUCAAGGCCUGGCAAUGUUGCUAUUGAGGAAGCUCAUGAACACAAACCUGGUUUUGAUGCUUCAUCAGAGGUAUGAUUUUAUAGUUGUGAGGACUUAGGAUCCUCUGGCCUUGGUUUAGGGUAUCCAUUGUUUGAUAUUAAAGUAUUUGUAUGCUCCAGGGUGGUGAUGUUAUGAGAACAGUUAUAUCAGCAAAUGGGGUGCUUUCUGAAGGCACUAAAUUGAACAAAUAUCAUGCAGAAUCUGUUGGACCAUCCAAAAUUGAAAAAGAAGAGGGAGAAUUAUCACCUAAUGGUGAUUUUGAGGAGGAUAAUUUUGUUGUCUAUGGAGAUGCUAGUACCCAGGCUGUGCCUUUGGCAAAGCACAGUUCUGAAAGGCGGCAAUUCCAAGCAGGUGAUGGACAAGAGAGGGAUUGCCAGGUUGCUGGAGGAGAAAAU
This 443-nucleotide long non-coding RNA is filed under the name Vitis vinifera (wine grape). RNAcentral describes it as "long non-coding RNA (VVIN_LNC004874)". The record is from RNAcentral. Lineage: Eukaryota; Viridiplantae; Streptophyta; Magnoliopsida; Vitales; Vitaceae.